UACGUAGGGUGCGAGCGUUGUCCGGAAUUAUUGGGCGUAAAGAGCUCGUAGGCGGUGUGUCGCGUCGGCCGUGAAAACCUGGGGCUCAACUCUGGGCGUGCGGUCGAUACGGGUAUCACUUGAGUUCGGCAGGGGAGACUGGAAUUCCUGGUGUAGCGGUGAAAUGCGCAGAUAUCAGGAGGAACACCGGUGGCGAAGGCGGGUCUCUGGGCCGAUACUGACGCUGAGGAGCGAAAGCGUGGGGAGCGAACAGG
This 254-nucleotide ribosomal RNA is filed under the name uncultured bacterium. RNAcentral describes it as "partial 16S ribosomal RNA". It matches the Rfam family "Bacterial small subunit ribosomal RNA", at positions 524 to 776 of the family's 1533-position model. The record is from RNAcentral.